CUGUGCAGCCGUUAAAACGAAAAAUGUUCAAUAUGCACUAACAUGGAACGACUUCCAAAGAUACCUUAGAUAAAAAAAAAAAAAAAAGGAAGGAGCAAAAGACCCGCGUUGAUGGGCGCUACAGUUUGUGGAAAAGAACGUGUGUGAGAGUGUGCGCGUCUGCGGGUGUGCGCACCUCUGUCUGGUAACGUGCACAAGAAGUGGUUAACUGUGGUGGCCUCGGACAGGAGAACUGGAGUCCUGGGUACCCGGGCAAGGGGGGAGAAUUUAUUUCUUAAAUAAGAUGAUGAAGAUAUAAGGGCUCGGAUCCGUCAAGACUUGAGCCAAUGCCUGGGUUCAGCCCUCCUGCUGGAAGGUCUGAUUUCCCCCUGUCGUUAGAGGAGGGAAUAAGGCUCAGAGAUUAGGGAUUUUAGUGAUAUCUCAUGGCCAGGAAGGGGAGAAGCUGGAAUUUGAGCCCUGGACGGUUUUACACUAAUGGCCAGGGUCUCCUUAUCCCACUUCCCACUGAGAAGCUUUUUUUUUUAUCAACCACAUGACACCCAGCGUGGGGUCUGGCACACAGGCUAAUCCAAGUUAACUGUUGAUUGGCUGUUUACUGACUGAACAGGUCGAACAGACCAGAGACAACGUGAUGUGUAGAAUGAAGAGAGGAACACUAGAGGCAAGAGCCCAGACUAGAGUCCAAGGCUUGCCCCUUUCCAGCCUGGAGACUGUGAACCUGGCACAUCCCUCCCUGAGCCUCCAUGUCCCCACCUAUGGAACUAACAAGCACGACCACAAGGGCCACGGGUGCCCCCCUCCGUCCUACUUUGGGCUUUACAUGCAGAUGAGCCCCAUUUUACGGAUCAGUAAGUGAAGCACAGAGAAAUUAAGGUAGUUGCCCAAAGGAGGUCCCUGCAGGGCCUGACUCCCCCACUACCUGAGAGAGAUUGCUGGGCUCCUGGGUCUCCCUCCGCCUCCAGGGAUCAUCCGCACUAAUGCUUUGGGAGACCUCCAGUCCUAGUUGAGCUGCCAGAGGCUGAGGAUCUGGUAGAGAACAGGACAGACACACAGUUCCUGUCCUUGAAGUCUAGUGAGGGUGACAGACAAUCCAGCGGUUAGCAUCUCUGAUGAGCUCUGUGGUGGGCAGAAGCUCAGGCCUUGGGAGCACAAUGGCAGGAGCAUCUGGCUCAGCCCGGGUGGCAUCAGAGAGGGCUUCUCAAAGUAGGUAACUUUUAAUCUGUGUCUGAAAAACGUGUAGGAUACCUGGAAGGAGGAAUGAUGGCGCUGGAGACCCAUGCAGAGGUGUGCUCAUACCUGAAGACGUGGGGCCACAUCCCACUCCCAGAUUGCGCUGCCAGCUCCUUGGAAAAAUGAGCAAAUGCUCAUGCUACUUCCUCAUUCCUGGACGAUGGUGUAAGCUUUGGAUUUGCUGCUGAGGCCCUUCUGUGCUUUUCUGGGACUUUGACUUCGGUCCACAGAUCGCUAUGGAAAUAGCAGAUGUGCUUUGUGAUCCGGUGACUAAUCACAUCACUUCUUUCAAAGCCUGUCAGGGAUUGGUCACCGUGCAUGCCAUUCAGUUCACACAAAGACACCAAAGCUCGGAGUUAUGUUGCCUCCUGCCUCCCAGUGAUAAACCCAUGCGACAGGCUACAAAAAUGGAUCAUCGGAAGAGGGAAUUGGCCAACAACGACGAAAGUGCUGCAAAGAAAUGCACAGAGCGAUAAGACAGAGUGGGAAAUUUGCAUGGGACGUAAGUGGAGUGUUGAAAGAAAGCACUGGCUGUGGGAAUGUGGACAGAGCAGUCCUUUGCUGUUCCAGAAACUCCAGCUACGCAACCAGAGAAACUUAGUGAAGGCAGAGUGACGAACAUACAUGACGCAUGUAGUUCUAACCAAAUGGAUGAAGGUGUCCCAGAGGAAGGGAUGCCAAGCAAAGAGGUCACAUCAAAGGAACGCCCAGAUAUAUUUCACAACAGUGAAAGCACAAGGGAUGAAGGGUUUGAAGUUGACAUAAACUCAGAAAGAAGGAUGUUAACUCAUCAAUGCUGAGAAAAGAUGCUCGUUCCAUAUCCUAAGUUAUGCGACUAGAAGGAAGCAAGCAAUCACUGUUCACGCUACUCUGGAUAAUUUCCCCCCAGAUUUAUUGAGUUAUAAUCGUCAUACAUUUACAGUUUACAACGUGUUGAGGGGGCACCUGGGUGGCUCAGUCGGUGAAGCAUCCAA
This is a non-coding RNA of Leptonychotes weddellii (Weddell seal), 2204 nucleotides long. Lineage: Eukaryota; Metazoa; Chordata; Mammalia; Carnivora; Phocidae. The record is from RefSeq and is a predicted model, not a curated record.